UGGGGGAUAGCUUUGCGCUGCUCCCUUAUUUAUGUGCCCAGUACAACUCAGGAACGUCUCUUCCUACAUGCUUUCCACAUCCCCCUUCUUUGUACAUUAAGCUCAACCCCAGGAGCACCUCUGGCAAUGCAGAGGUUGGGUAUAUUUGUCUUCCUACUCGCAGGGGCGACUGGGAGGUCGGGGGAGGUUUUCAGACAGUUCAGUGUUAUGCAAAUGUAAUUCAUGACAUGCAGAAUCAUUCAUUUGAAGUUGUCUUAAAAUAACAGCUGAUGCUGUUUGGGCCGCGCACAGAUCUGCUUCUGUGGAUGGGAACAAAUUAAAAGUACAUUCACUGGAAAGCUUGGGUUGAUAGAGAUGCUCCUGAAAAGCUGGGGGGUGAUUGCAGCCACUCCAGGCCUCUGUGCUGAUCAGGUUUGAAGAUAGAGGCUUGGUGGAAAAGGCAACAAAUAAUGUUGAAUCUCUGAAUCUCUGGUUUAGUCCUCUCACUACCUUUCACUGGAUCCAAUGAAACUGAAUCGAACAAGUCGACUGUGCGGGCCAAUAUUCUUGAAAUUGUGUCAUGUUUCACUGCUGUAUUGAGUUCCUUGUGUUCCUUGUAGCUGUUGCACCUGCAGACAGGUGAUUGACAGGUGUGAUUGUACACAAUGUCAUCCUUCGGGGGACGGUAAUUCCAGAUUUCAUUCAUACAGUCUGCUCUGCAAAAAUAAAAAAAACUAAUGAUACCUCCACCGAAAUCAUCUGAAUCCUACCUUUUACUUCCAUAGACUGUACAGCACCCUCUGGUGACGGGCUGCAGUAUAGGUCAUAAAUCCCACAUCCUCCAACAAUCCCUAUGGAGUUUGGGACAAUCUUUAGAAAUGUAUUACACAGAAUAUAAUUUUUUUACAUUUGCCAAUUCCUACCGGAUCUGUUUGUGAGGCGAAUUUCGUGGCGGAUUACGGACAGCAGGAAUCGCGAGAACUCACAAGAACCCGCGGAUUUACAUGCAAGCGCGCAUUAAUAAGUUGUCUUUAGCCACAUAGGCUAACCAAAUAAGCAGUAGAUUGUGUCCUUUCAGAAGAGGAAAUCUACUUCUAGACUUAUAAAAUCAGCAUCUCCUCAUCCAUGGUGUCAUCGGUAUGAAAUGCUGUCUAUAAACUUUUCACUUGUUCGUCCCCGCCCGUUUGCAUAGUGUGAAAUAUGAUCCGUCUGAAACACAGUGUUUUAUUUUGAAAAAAAGCUGGAUGUUUUAUUUUGUGUCUGUGCCUGACUUCCUUUCCAGCACGGUUAAUCUGUGCUGAAUUUAUCUGGCGUGCUCCGGUGUCCAGAAAAACUAGAACUCUUGCGAUCAGCUGCGGAGUCCAGCGAUCCACAGCGGAACGGAGUGAAGCCAGUGAAAAUUGACACUGAACCUUGAAUGGUUACAAUCAGCUAUAAUCGGCGGAUAUGGCCUUUUUGUAGCCGUUCCAGAUGCUUUGAAAAUUGGGGGUAAGACUGGUUUGUGCUCAAGUCCUCUUUUUUUCUGUGCCCCUCUAUUUUUAAAGGUUAUUGGGGGUUCACGUUUUCUGUGAUUGACACUUGAUACAGCUUAUGGGCGUAUGAAGAUUGCGUAGCUCACCUGGGAUACGCUGUUUGAGCCUAGCGUCAUCACAGCGACUCUCCUAACAAAUGCGUACAACACGACUGCACAACUGGUGGUUCCAGGAAGGGGAGAAAAUCCUGGAAAUAUCGAGAGCAAUUCGGCUUCAAAUUCGUAUAAUGAUGGAAGGUGAAGCCAAGCUGUUCAUAGAAUAUACAGUCUAUGGUUACUUCACAUAAAAUAUGAAGGCUAGUUCUCUGUUAGUUGCAGCAUUAAAAGUAAUGAUGCAUAUUUGUGUUUGCUGGUAGCAAGAACCUCUUUGUGUCCUAAAUAAUCCUAAAUAAUGUGCAGCCUUUUUACCCACGGACUGGGUUAGUAUUUAGUUCCAGUGUAUUAUAGCAUGAUUACAUUGUGAUGCAUGUCUUUCCAACACAUAAAAAGAACAGAGAAUAAUUCACUUAUUGUGCUUGUUUAUUUCACCCCUACCCUCUUAUUUUUGGAGCUCUGAAAACCAUCUCACCCACAUCGUAUCUCAAAGAACAGAUUUCCCCUGAGUCGCCUGAUUACGUGUAUAAGUUGGAAGUUGGAGCCAAAUAUGCAGCCAACAAAUUAAAGUUGUAUAAAAGUGUAUAAGUUUUCAAAGCAGUAAAUUUGUCUCGUACUCAAACUUAGCUCAAAAUUUCUAAAGGAUCUUUGUGUAACCUUGAAGAACAAUUAUAUGAAUUUAGAGUUUUUAUUUUUACAUAUAAAGGAAAGAUAAGUAAGCCUUUGGGACUUGAAAAUGGCACUUUCAUUUUGCUGUGAAGUGUUUCGUAUUUACCAAAAAGUAGGUUAUCAAUAUCGGAUUGAAAAAGAACAGAUAUUCACAAGAGAAGAAAUGCCGCCGAAGAAGAUUGGGAGAUUUUCUCAAAUUGUGGAGUGAUUUUUCUGAGUCAGGCAGACAAUCAUCGAUUUAGACUCCUCGAUAUUUAUACGUCAUGUAACCAUAGUCACAUAAAGUCCUAGUUUCUGCAGGAUGAAGAGAGUAGUCCCAAAGCUUCCAAGCGUCUCAGAGCUCUACACCUUCAUAAAGUGAGCUUUAUUUAGCUGUGGGUGUGACUUCAAACACAGUUUGAUCUGUGGUGAAGAGGAAGUUUGGAGGGACCUGUCUGAAGAAGGCCCGCUGAGUAACAGGACGGCUCGAUGCCAAAAGCUAAUUUCUCUGUGUUAUUAUGAAAGUGACCAUUUUCCAUCACUCUCUUUUUCCGUUUGUGCAGGUAAGUAGCUUUGAUGCAUCACCUGAGCUCUUGACCCCGACUUUUUCAGCGACCAAACGAAGAUGAAGUCAUCAGAGUCGCCUGUGCUUCCUCUGCUUUAAACAUGAAUUACAUGGAGUCAGUUUCAGAGCACUUUUAAUCAGGCCGGCUCCUUCUGGGAGAGGGAAAAUUCUGCCAACUUUGUUUUCGUCUAUAAUGUUUGAGACCAGUGAACAUCUGAUGCCAGUUCUUGAUUGAUCACUCUCCAUAAAACAGGGAUGGUUUCUGGUUUGUUGAGGCUGCUCGUUGAUCAUUCUGCUGUUUUGUGACUUGCUGUCCAGAUGCUCUAUGCUGAGAGUGGGCACAGUCCAUUGACACUGCUGAUGCUGCAGUGAGGAGCUCUGAGGAUACUGCCAGUGCUGCUUUCUGGCCCUCUAGCCAUAGCAGAUGAUUGUGCUCGCUCUGUAAUUUCCUCAAUUUAGAGACUGUCAGAGGGUCCUCCACUCACCAUUUGCUCUUCUAGGACUUUUAGAGACCCAUUGUUGCAAGAUAAAUGUUGUUACAAACAGCCAGCUUCAGCCUGGAAAAGUUUGCAGGACACAGACUUUACAUUUUAUUGGCCUUAUGGUUGUAAAGCCUCUGGGACUGUGACUCACGGAGUCAAAAUAUCAGAAUUGUGGAUCUUAUUGAGAGUCUGUUUGGUGUUUAGACUGCUUUUCUAGACCAAAUCAUGAAUGAGUCAGCCCCAGACACUCCACUCUCUGCAUUCCUAUGUGAGUGUGUGGCUGUGUGUGUGGUUGUGUGUGUGUGUCCUUGCCUUGAUUGGUCUCACCUGUGCCUGAUUAGUCUCCCCUCUCCAGUGUAUUAGGUCUAUGUGUUUCUCUUUCCCACUGUCAGUUCACAUUAGUACCAUGAGCAUAGCUACUCCGAGUUUUGUCCCGGAGUUUUUAGACCUCUCCUUUUCCCUCUGGACCUCUCCUGUUUUAGUUAUUCUGGUUUUGGAUUGGUUUGCUUUGUUGGGCUGUGCUCCUG
RNAcentral lists this long non-coding RNA (3825 nucleotides) under Xyrichtys novacula (pearly razorfish). Lineage: Eukaryota; Metazoa; Chordata; Actinopteri; Labriformes; Labridae. The record is from RNAcentral.